RNAcentral lists this ribosomal RNA (1022 nucleotides) under Holoaden luederwaldti (Luderwaldt's highland frog). RNAcentral describes it as "partial 16S ribosomal RNA". It matches the Rfam family "Bacterial large subunit ribosomal RNA", at positions 948 to 2610 of the family's 2925-position model. Lineage: Eukaryota; Metazoa; Chordata; Amphibia; Anura; Craugastoridae. The record is from RNAcentral.
CGCAAUCCCUCAAAAUAACCUUAAAGCUUAAGAGAAAUUCAAAUAAGGUACAGCCUAUUUGAAAAAGGAUACAACCUUCACUAACGGGUAACUUCAUUUUAUUUAACUCAGUUGGCCUAAGAGCAGCCACCAUUUAAAAGCGUCAAAGCUUAAUCAUACAUUUUAUAAAUACCUCAACCAAUACCCAACCCUUACACAGUACUGAGUACUUCUAUGCCCCCCAUAGAAAAUUUUAUGUUAAAACUAGUAAUAAGAAGCCCAUCUUCUCUCAAUGCAAGUGUUAAUCAGGCAGAAACUCGCACUGAUAAUCAACGACACCUAGUAGCAACUUCACAAGAAAACACUACUUCCCCCCCCGUAAACCUAACACAAGAGCAUUUAAAGAAAGAUCCAAAAAAAGAGAAGGAACUCGGCAAACUCUAAUCCCGCCUGUUUACCAAAAACAUCGCCACUUGAACCCUAUAAGAGGUCCAGCCUGCCCAGUGACUCUGUUCAACGGCCGCGGUAUCCUGACCGCGCGAAGGUAGCGUAAUCACUUGUCUUUUAAAUAAAGACUAGUAUGAAAGGCACCACGAGGAUUAAACUGUCUCCUCUUUCCAAUCAAUGAAACUAAUCUCCCCGUGAAGAAGCGGGGAUCCUCAUAUUAGACGAGAAGACCCUAUGGAGCUUAAAACAAACUACAUCCGCCACACUACUUUUUUCCCCCCCCCGGACCUAACCUUGUGGCACUUUGUCUAUAAGUUUUAGGUUGGGGCGACCACGGAGAACAAAACAUCCUCCAUGCUGAAACAGACCACUCCUAAGCAAAAAGUCACAACUUUUUAAAUCAAUAAAUUGACAUCUAUUGACCCAGUAUUCUGAUCAACGAACCAAGUUACCCUAGGGAUAACAGCGCAAUCUACUUCAAGAGCCCCUAUCGACAAGUAGGCUUACGACCUCGAUGUUGGAUCAGGGGAUCCUAGUGGUGCAGCAGCUACUAAAGGUUCGUUUGUUCAACGAUUAAACCCCUACGUGAUCUGAGU